CUCAAGGCAGGUGCUGCAGAUUUGCAACAGCUAAAUAUCUGAUUUUUCCUGUUACUAAAAAUUAAUUUGAGCCUGAGAGGGCUCAGACAUGAAUAUGA
Long non-coding RNA from Thalassophryne amazonica, 98 nucleotides. RefSeq lists it as uncharacterized. The transcript is spliced from 3 exons. NCBI's taxonomy places the organism in Eukaryota, Metazoa, Chordata, Actinopteri, Batrachoidiformes, Batrachoididae. The record is from RefSeq and is a predicted model, not a curated record.